AUGAACGCUAGCUACAGGCUUUAACACAUGCAAGUCGAGGGGCAGCAUGGUAUCAGCUUGCUGAUACCGAUGGCGACCGGCGCACGGGUGAGUAACGCGUAUGUAAUCUGCCUGUAACAGAGGGAUAACCCGGAGAAAUCCGGCCUAAUACCUCAUAAUACAUAUUAUUCGCAUGAGUUUUAUGUUAAAGAAAUUCGGUUACAGAUGAACAUGCGUUCCAUUAGCUGGUUGGCGGGGUAACGGCCCACCAAGGCGACGAUGGAUAGGGGUUCUGAGAGGAAGGUCCCCCACACUGGUACUGAGACACGGACCAGACUCCUACGGGAGGCAGCAGUGAGGAAUAUUGGUCAAUGGGCGAGAGCCUGAACCAGCCAAGUCGCGUGGAGGAAGACUGCCCUAUGGGUUGUAAACUCCUUUUACCUGGGAAUAACGGGCGCUACGUGUAGCGCUGUGCAUGUACCGGGAGAAUAAGCAUCGGCUAAUUCCGUG
Molecule: ribosomal RNA, 489 nt
Filed under: uncultured bacterium
Lineage: Bacteria
Description: bacterial SSU rRNA
Rfam family: Bacterial small subunit ribosomal RNA
Source: RNAcentral